This 468-nucleotide ribosomal RNA is filed under the name uncultured bacterium. RNAcentral describes it as "partial 16S ribosomal RNA". It matches the Rfam family "Bacterial small subunit ribosomal RNA", at positions 28 to 507 of the family's 1533-position model. The record is from RNAcentral.
GACGAACGCUGGCGGCGUGCUUAACACAUGCAAGUCGAACGGAAAGGCCCUGCUUUUGUUGGGUGCUCGAGUGGCGAACGGGUGAGUAACACGUGAGUAACCUGCCCUUGACUUUGGGAUAACUUCAGGAAACUGGGGCUAAUACCGGAUAGGAGCUCCUGCUGCAUGGUGGUGGUUGGAAAGUUUCGGCGGUUGGGGAUGGACUCGCGGCUUAUCAGCUUGUUAGUGGGGUAGUGGCUUACCAAGGCUUUGACGGGUAGCCGGCCUGAGAGGGUGACCGGCCACAUUGGGACUGAGAUACGGCCCAGACUCCUACGGGCGGCAGCAGUGGGGAAUAUUGCACAAUGGGCGGAAGCCUGAUGCAGCAACGCCGCGUGCGGGAUAACGGCCUUCGGGUUGUAAACCGAUUUCGCCUGUGACGAAGCGUGAGUGACGGUAAUGGGUAAAGAAGCACCGGCUAACUACGUG